AAACUGAGGCCUGGAGAGGUCAAAUCACUUGCCAAGCACGCAACCAGGAUUCAAAUCUAGAACUCCACCCCAUGCCACCUCCCUGUCUGCUCACAGCUGGACCUCUCCAGGGAAUGCCUUCCUCCACCUUCAUGUCAUCUCCUCCCUGGUGCCUUGUGCCCUGCUCAUUACCUAAGAUGCCUACCACAGCAUGGUGUGCCAAGUGGUGCCAUGUUCGCACUCGGGAUUCGAACCAGCGAACCCCAGGCCGCUGAGAAACAGAACGUGCGAACUUAACCGCUGUGCCACCGGGCCGGCCCCAACCAUGAAAUUCUUGAUUGUGCCAUAUUCUCUUGCACCCCAAGCUUGUCUGAAAUCCUUUCCCCCACCUCAGUAUUCACUCCCCCCUCCCCUUCACCUAACUCCUCGUUAUUUUCAGCUAUUCCACGUUACCUCCUCCUUCAGGGAGCUUUCUCUAACCCGCAAGGUUUUGAUAGCUGCUUCGUUUGGGCUCCCACAGUCUCCUGCCUUUCCCUGAUUCUAGCCCUAACACUGUAUUCUAAAGGGCAAUUUAUUUGUCUCCUAACUGGACUUGAGCUCCACAAGGGCAAGAGCCAUCUCUUAUUCAACAUGGUUUGUUGUUUGUUGAAUGAAUAAAAGGCAAUUCGUG
RNAcentral lists this long non-coding RNA (649 nucleotides) under Equus asinus (donkey). Its description in RNAcentral is "lncRNA (ENSEASG00005024283.1)". The record is from RNAcentral. Lineage: Eukaryota; Metazoa; Chordata; Mammalia; Perissodactyla; Equidae.